UGGGGAAUAUUGCACAAUGGGGGAAACCCUGAUGCAGCGACGCCGCGUGAACGAAGAAGGUAUUCGUAUCGUAAAGUUCUGUCCUAUGGGAAGAUAAUGACAGUACCAUAGAAGAAAGCUCCGGCUAAAUACGUGCCAGCAGCCGCGGUAAUACGUAUGGAGCGAGCGUUGUCCGGAAUUAUUGGGCGUAAAGGGUACGCAGGCGGUUUAAUAAGUCGAAUGUUAAAGAUCGGGGCUCAACCCCGUAAAGCAUUGGAAACUGAUAAACUUGAGUAGUGGAGAGGAAAGUUGAAUUCCUAGUGUAGUGGUGAAAUACGUAGAUAUUAGGAGGAAUACCAGUAGCGAAGGCGACUUUCUGGACACAAACUGACGCUGAGGUACGAAAGCGUGGGGAGCAAACAGG
Molecule: ribosomal RNA, 403 nt
Filed under: bacterium
Lineage: Bacteria
Also listed under: 1 other name
Description: partial 16S ribosomal RNA
Rfam family: Bacterial small subunit ribosomal RNA
Source: RNAcentral